UUUAUUUAUUUAUUUUUAUUAUUUUUUUCCCAGUGCGUCAGGGGGAAAUUUCUCAGGGCAGCCAUCUGCUUCUGCCUGGACUGAGUUGAGGUGCAGGGUCCUCGUAAAUGGGCAGGAGCACACCAGACACUUCACUGGUUUCCCCUUGGCUAGGCACAGACAGAUUUUGCUGAUGCCUGGGUUCAGGAGGGGUGGCAGAGCGUGCCUGAUGUGAUGCAGAUGGCUCCCUGGGGACAGUUAAGCUCUUCUGCACCCAGCUAUGCAGCCUGCGGUGUGUCCCCCCGCCGGGCAGCAGCUCCCUGCCAAGCCGAUUCCCGUCUGGCUCCGCCAAUGGGACCGGGGUCCCCAGGGACCUAUACGCCAAGGCGUUGCCCAAGACCUCCAACUGAGGCUGCCAGGCCUUCAUGUCUGCUGGAAGA
Oxyura jamaicensis (ruddy duck) is the source of this 419-nucleotide long non-coding RNA. RefSeq lists it as uncharacterized. The record is from RefSeq and is a predicted model, not a curated record. The transcript is spliced from 2 exons. Lineage: Eukaryota; Metazoa; Chordata; Aves; Anseriformes; Anatidae.